CUCGAAUAAUUACGUCAUUUUAAUGACUGCGUAUCCCCGUAUCAUUGAAAAAUAAUAGUUACCCAUUCUCCUCUUAAACUACUCGAAUAAUUACGUCAUUUUAAUGACUGCGUAUCCCCGUAUCCCCGUAUCAUUGAAAAAUAAUAGUUACCCGUAUCCCCGUAUCAUUGAAAAAUAAUAGUUACCCAUUCUCCUUUUAAACUACUCGAAUAAUUACGUCAUUUUAAUGACUGCGUAUCCCCGUAUCCCCCAAAAGCAAACACUAUCAAAAUUCAAAAGUGGCCGGGUAUUCUAUAAUCGCUCCCAA
Molecule: non-coding RNA, 307 nt
Organism: Paramuricea clavata
Lineage: Eukaryota; Metazoa; Cnidaria; Anthozoa; Malacalcyonacea; Plexauridae
Source: the annotation of a GenBank genome assembly